Oryza sativa Japonica Group (Japanese rice) is the source of this 513-nucleotide long non-coding RNA. RefSeq lists it as uncharacterized. The record is from RefSeq and is a predicted model, not a curated record. NCBI's taxonomy places the organism in Eukaryota, Viridiplantae, Streptophyta, Magnoliopsida, Poales, Poaceae.
CGCACCACCAUUCACACGAGCGUUGCAUCACGCUGCCUCGUCCUUCCCUCUCCUCUCGCAGCAUCGAUCACAUCGGUGGAAGGGGGCGGCGGUGGCGCGCAUUGGCAUCGAGCCGGCGAUGGGCCGACGGCAGCAGCCAGAAGAGCCUGAUUCCUCAAAUCCAGAUGAAGAGGACCUGAACAUUAAUACCAUUAUUUUCUACCAAGUCCGGUGCAGUGAGUCCAUCCAACCCCUAGAAACAGCAGGAACCGAGGCUAGUAACAAUUGGCAAAAUAAUGUUGUGCUUGCUCCAAAUGUGAUUGUUGCUGACCCUGGGAUUCUCACUCCAAUCGAACAAUUGGAUGUAAACAUUAGGGAUGCUGCUACAAGGGAGUAUUUGUUGUUGGGUCCAUGUUAACAGGUUGAUCAUUUCAGCAAUGAAAUAUUUAAUGUGGUACUUGAUCAAAUUAUUGUUGAUUUAAACCAUCGUGCUGAAAGGUUUACUCAGCUAUUGAGAUGCAUUGUUUGCCUUGA